This 760-nucleotide ribosomal RNA is filed under the name Acinetobacter sp. RNAcentral describes it as "bacterial SSU rRNA". It matches the Rfam family "Bacterial small subunit ribosomal RNA", at positions 57 to 814 of the family's 1533-position model. The record is from RNAcentral. Lineage: Bacteria; Pseudomonadati; Pseudomonadota; Gammaproteobacteria; Moraxellales; Moraxellaceae.
GCAGUCGAGCGGGGAGAUGUAGCUUGCUACAUUUUCUAGCGGCGGACGGGUGAGUAAUGCUUAGGAAUCUGCCUAUUAGUGGGGGACAACAUUCCGAAAGGAAUGCUAAUACCGCAUACGCCCUACGGGGGAAAGCAGGGGAUCUUCGGACCUUGCGCUAAUAGAUGAGCCUAAGUCAGAUUAGCUAGUUGGUGGGGUAAAGGCCUACCAAGGCGACGAUCUGUAGCGGGUCUGAGAGGAUGAUCCGCCACACUGGGACUGAGACACGGCCCAGACUCCUACGGGAGGCAGCAGUGGGGAAUAUUGGACAAUGGGCGAAAGCCUGAUCCAGCCAUGCCGCGUGUGUGAAGAAGGCCUUUUGGUUGUAAAGCACUUUAAGCGAGGAGGAGGCUACCGAGAUUAAUACUCUUGGAUAGUGGACGUUACUCGCAGAAUAAGCACCGGCUAACUCUGUGCCAGCAGCCGCGGUAAUACAGAGGGUGCGAGCGUUAAUCGGAUUUACUGGGCGUAAAGCGUGCGUAGGCGGCUUUUUAAGUCGGAUGUGAAAUCCCUGAGCUUAACUUAGGAAUUGCAUUCGAUACUGGGAAGCUAGAGUAUGGGAGAGGAUGGUAGAAUUCCAGGUGUAGCGGUGAAAUGCGUAGAGAUCUGGAGGAAUACCGAUGGCGAAUGCAGCCAUCUGGCCUAAUACUGACGCUGAGGUACGAAGCAUGGGGAGCAAACAGGAUUAGAUACCCUGGUAGUCCAUGCCGUAACGAUGUCU